CCAGGACUGAUGGUGACAGCUGGCCUUAUACAUUGGAUCUUAAAUAUGCUCAAUAUAACUGUCCACAUAAGAGAUGUGUGUGUGUUCCUUGCCCCAGUUUUUAGCGGCCUUACAUCAAUUUCUACUUUCAUUCUUACCAGAGAACUGUGGAACCAGGGAGCCGGGCUUCUAGCUGCCUGUUUUAUUGCUGUUGUACCAGGUUACAUAUCACGAUCAGUUGCAGGAUCUUUUGACAAUGAAGGGAUAGCUAUAUUUGCACUACAGUUCACAUAUUACUUGUGGGUGAAGUCAGUGAAAACUGGAUCUGUCUUCUGGACCAUUUGCUGCUGUCUAUCCUACUUCUACAUGGUUUCUGCAUGGGGUGGUUAUGUUUUCAUCAUCAACCUUAUUCCUCUGCAUGUAUUUGUAUUAUUGUUAAUGCAGAGAUACAGCAGGAGGGUCUAUAUAGGUGAGUAUUUUAAUUUGAUGAUAUUGGAUGGAAUGUUAUUUUUCAGUUUUAAUUUAACUACUCUUUCAAAGGACUAUGAUUUAAACAUAGUUGUGUAUAUUAGUCAUAGAACAGAAAUUUUGAUUUUUGGUUUGCUUGUUAUCGAUAUUCAUAUAUAU
Long non-coding RNA from Protobothrops mucrosquamatus (brown spotted pit viper), 606 nucleotides. RefSeq lists it as uncharacterized. NCBI's taxonomy places the organism in Eukaryota, Metazoa, Chordata, Lepidosauria, Squamata, Viperidae. The record is from RefSeq and is a predicted model, not a curated record. The transcript has 3 exons.